AGCAGCCGCGGUAAUUCCAGCUCCAAUAGCGUAUAUUAAAGUUGUUGCAGUUAAAAAGCUCGUAGUUGAAUUUCGGGGUUAGUAGGUUGGUCAUGCCUCUGGUAUGUACUGGUCUCACUGAUUCCUCCUUCCUGAUGAACCUUAAUGCCAUUAAUUUGGUGUUUUGGGGAAUUUGGACUGUUACUUUGAAAAAAUUAGAGUGUUUAAAGCAAGCUAACGCUUGAAUACAUUAGCAUGGAAUAAUGAAAUAGGACGUUCGAUCCUAUUUUGUUGGUUUCUAGGAUUGACGUAAUGAUUAAUAGGGAUAGUUGGGGGCAUUAGUAUUCAAUUGUCAGAGGUGAAAUUCUUGGAUUUAUUGAAGACUAACUACUGCGAAAGCAUUUGCCAAGGAUGUUUUCAUUAAUCAAGAACGAAAGUUAGGGGAUCGAAGACGAUCAGAUACCGUCGUAGUCUUAACCAUAAACUAUGCCGACUAGG
This 477-nucleotide unclassified non-coding RNA is filed under the name uncultured Diversispora. RNAcentral describes it as "SSU rRNA". It matches the Rfam family "Eukaryotic small subunit ribosomal RNA", at positions 569 to 1050 of the family's 1831-position model. Lineage: Eukaryota; Fungi; Glomeromycota; Glomeromycetes; Diversisporales; Diversisporaceae. The record is from RNAcentral.